UCUGUGAAGCAGAAGAACUAGAUACCUUCUCAGGAACAAGAGGAACCCACACUUGUGCUUGAGGAGCCAGACUCCAUUUUAGGGUCCACAGCUGCAUCUCCUGUGAUCCUCAAAAGCAAGAAGGAUGAAAAAAUUACUUGAAGUGUUCUUGAUAACUCUGUGGCUUCAUGUGGCCAGAGUGAACAGCCAACAAGAAGAGAAAACUCAGACCUUGAGUAUCCAACAGGGUGAAAAUGCCACCAUGAACUGCAGUUACAAAUCUGACAUAAUCACCCUGCAGUGGUACAGACAGGAUUCUGGCAGAGGACCCACCAUGCUAAUUUUAAUAAGGUCAAAUGAGAGAGAAAGAAGCAGUGGACAGCUAAGAAUCACCCUGGACACCUCUGCCAGAAGCAGUUCCCUGUCCAUCUUGACUUCCCAGACUGAAGACACUGCUGCUUACUUCUGUGCCACAGAUGCACAGUGUUCAGUGUGCACCUGCAGCCUGACUCUAAGCUCAACAGAGCUGCUACCUAGAGGUCCCAGCACUGGGAGAGCUGUGUUAUGUCUAUGGGGGAUCGUCUAUGAGAUCAGGAAAGUGGAAUCCUCUCCCAUUGAUGAUUUCUUGGAAAUACCUGACACUUUUUCAAGGGCUAGAAUUUGGAGUGGUAAAAUGAAAUGUCAGGCUCAGAUCUGGCCCUCCUGCCAGCUGAUCUCAAGCUCAUCUUCAAUGCAGUGGCUUUCUAAGUCCUCACUUGUUGUGAAGGGCAAGGAUUCCUAA
Non-coding RNA from Dipodomys spectabilis (banner-tailed kangaroo rat), 760 nucleotides. The record is from the annotation of a RefSeq genome assembly. Lineage: Eukaryota; Metazoa; Chordata; Mammalia; Rodentia; Heteromyidae.